UUGGACGCUGGCGGAAUGCUUUACACAUGCAAGUCGAGCGGCAGCGCGGGGCAACCUGGCGGCGAGCGGCGAACGGGUGAGUAACACAUCGGAACGUACCCAGUUGUGGGGGAUAGCCCGGCGAAAGCCGGAUUAAUACCGCAUACGACCUGAGGGUGAAAGCGGGGGAUCGCAAGACCUCGCGCAAUUGGAGCGGCCGAUGGCGGAUUAGCUAGUUGGUAGGGUAAAGGCCUACCAAGGCGACGAUCCGUAGCGGGUCUGAGAGGACGACCCGCCACACUGGAACUGAGACACGGUCCAGACUCCUACGGGAGGCAGCAGUGGGGAAUUUUGGACAAUGGGGGAAACCCUGAUCCAGCCAUUCCGCGUGAGUGAAGAAGGCCUUCGGGUUGUAAAGCUCUUUCGGCAGGAACGAAACGGUUUGCCCUAAUACGGUGAGCUAAUGACGGUACCUGAAGAAGAAGCACCGGCUAACUACGC
This 480-nucleotide ribosomal RNA is filed under the name uncultured bacterium. Its description in RNAcentral is "bacterial SSU rRNA". It matches the Rfam family "Bacterial small subunit ribosomal RNA", at positions 29 to 506 of the family's 1533-position model. The record is from RNAcentral.